UGGAUCAGGAGAGGACAGAUGGGUCCAGGUAGUGGAUCAGGAGAGGACAGAUGACAGAUGGGUCCAGGUAGUGGAUCAGGAGAGGACAGAUGGGUCCAGGUAGUGGAUAAGGAGAGGACAGAUGACAGAUGGGUCCAGGUAGUGGAUCUGGAGAGGACAGAUGGGUCCAGGUUGUGGAUCAGGAGAGGACCGAUGGGUCCAGGUAGUGGAUCAGGAGAGGAUAGAUGACAGAUGGGUCCAGGUAGUGGAUCAGGAGAGGACAGAUGGGUCCAGGUAGUGGAUCAGGAGAGGACCGAUGGGUCCAGGUAGUGGAUCAGGAGAGGACAGAUGGGUCCAGGUAGUGGAUCAGGAGAGGACAGAUGGGUCCAGGUAGUGGAUCAGGAGAGGAC
Molecule: long non-coding RNA, 389 nt
Filed under: Salmo salar (Atlantic salmon)
Lineage: Eukaryota; Metazoa; Chordata; Actinopteri; Salmoniformes; Salmonidae
Description: lncRNA (ENSSSAG00000101507.1)
Source: RNAcentral